GGUGAGAUGUCCGAGUGGAUUAAGGAACGUACUUGGAAAGUACGAGUAUAUGAUAUAUACCGAGGGUUCGAAUCCCUCUCUCACCG
This is a non-coding RNA of Candidatus Riesia pediculicola, 86 nucleotides long. The record is from Rfam. NCBI's taxonomy places the organism in Bacteria, Pseudomonadati, Pseudomonadota, Gammaproteobacteria, Enterobacterales, Enterobacteriaceae.